This 440-nucleotide ribosomal RNA is filed under the name uncultured bacterium. Its description in RNAcentral is "partial 16S ribosomal RNA". It matches the Rfam family "Bacterial small subunit ribosomal RNA", at positions 338 to 795 of the family's 1533-position model. The record is from RNAcentral.
CCUACGGGAGACAGCAGUGGGGAAUAUUGCACAAUGGGGGAAACCCUGAUGCAGCGACGCCGCGUGAGUGAAGAAGUAAUUCGUUAUGUAAAGCUCUAUCAGCAGGGAAGAAAAUGACGGUACCUGAGUAAGAAGCCCCGGCUAACUACGUGCCAGCAGCCGCGGUAAUACGGAGGGGGCAAGCGUUAUCCGGAUUUACUGGGUGUAAAGGGAGCGUAGACGGCAGUGCAAGUCUGGAGUGAAAGGCGGGGGCUCAACCCCCGGACUGCUCUUGAAACUGUACGGCUGGAGUGCAGGAGAGGUAAGUGGAAUUCCUAGUGUAGCGGUGAAAUGCGUAGAUAUUAGGAGGAACACCAGUGGCGAAGGCGGCUUACUGGACUGUAACUGACGUUGAGGCUCGAAAGCGUGGGUAGCAAACAGGAUUAGAUACCCCUGUAGUC